Molecule: long non-coding RNA, 278 nt
Filed under: Gorilla gorilla gorilla (western lowland gorilla)
Lineage: Eukaryota; Metazoa; Chordata; Mammalia; Primates; Hominidae
Description: lncRNA (ENSGGOG00000044501.1)
Source: RNAcentral
GCCAUUAUGAUGGAUGUUUACAUCUCUUCAUUGAGAGCCAAUUAUCUCGCUUUUGUGUGAGGCCCAAGGAUCACUCAUGCUUCCAGGCUGCACAGAGCACUGUUGGAUCUAGCUGAACGAAUUGUUUUCUCUGUCUCUGUUGUAGCAGAAAGAAAUUGUCCUGGAAUUCACCAACAAAAUAUCAAGUCCAACCUGCUACAACUGUGAAACCUAGUAACUCAGAGGAAUCAACGUUUCUACUCCUUGAAACCCAGCAAGGCUGUCACCUAUCAAAGGCU